Molecule: ribosomal RNA, 271 nt
Filed under: uncultured bacterium
Lineage: Bacteria
Description: partial 16S ribosomal RNA
Rfam family: Bacterial small subunit ribosomal RNA
Source: RNAcentral
AAUCAACGCUGGCGGCGUGCCUCAGACAUGCAAGUCGAACGAUUAAAGCUCUCUUCGGAGAGUGUAUAGAGUGGCGCACGGGUGAGUAACACGUAAGUAAUCUACCUUUGAGUGGGGAAUAACAGUCCGAAAGGAUUGCUAAUACCGCAUGUGGUCCCGGGCGUUAGAGAACCGGGUCUAAAGCAGUAAUGCGCUUCAGGAGGGGCCUGCGGUCCAUCAGCUAGNGGUAGGGUAAUGGCCUACCAAGGCAACGACGGAGUAGGGGACCUGA